This 403-nucleotide ribosomal RNA is filed under the name uncultured bacterium. Its description in RNAcentral is "partial 16S ribosomal RNA". It matches the Rfam family "Bacterial small subunit ribosomal RNA", at positions 28 to 526 of the family's 1533-position model. The record is from RNAcentral.
GACGAACGCUGGCGGCGUGCCUAAUACAUGCAAGUCGAACGCAGUGGGGACGGGUGAGUAACACGUGGGUAACCUCCCAUCAGAGGGGAUAACACUUGGCAAUAGGUGCUAAACUGAUAUAGAUGGAUGGACCCGCGGUGCACUAGCUAGUUGGUGAGGGAAAGGCUAACCAAGGCCACGAUGCAGAGCCGACCUGAGAGGCGGAUCUGCCACACUGGGACUUAUACACGGCCCAGACGCCUACGGGAGGCAGCAGUAGGGAAUCUUCGGCAAGGGAGGAAAGUCUGAUCGAGGAACGCCGCGUGAGUGAAGAAGGUUUUCGGAUCGUAAAGCUCUGUUGUUAGAGAAGCGGUAUCUAACCAGAAAGCCACGGCUAACUACGUGCCAGCAGCCGCGGUAAUAC